AUUGAACGCUGGCGGCAUGCUUUACACAUGCAAGUCGAACGGUAACAGGCCUUCGGGUGCUGCCGAGCGGCGAACGGGUGAGUAAUGCAUCGGAACGUACCCAGAGGUGGGUGAUAAUGCAGCGCAAGCUGUGCUAAUACCGCAUGUGAUCUGAGGAUGACAGCGGGGGACCGAGCAGCAAUGUUUGGCCUCGCGCCUUCGGAGCGGCCGAUGUCGGAUUAGCCAGUUGGUGGGGUAAAGGCCCACCAAGGCGACGAUCCGUAGCUGGUCUGAGAGGACGACCAGCCACACUAGGACGGAGACACGGCCCAGACUCCUGCGAGAGGCAACAGUGAGGAAUUUUGGACAAUGGGCGCAAACCUGAUCCAGCAAUGCCGCGUGCGGGAAGAAGGCCUUCGGGUUGUAAACCGCUUUUGGCAGGAACGAAACGGUGUCCACUAAUACCGAGCGCUAAUGACGGUACCUGCAGAAUAAGCACCGGCUAACUACGUG
This 492-nucleotide ribosomal RNA is filed under the name uncultured bacterium. RNAcentral describes it as "partial 16S ribosomal RNA". It matches the Rfam family "Bacterial small subunit ribosomal RNA", at positions 30 to 507 of the family's 1533-position model. The record is from RNAcentral.